GAUGAACGCUGGCGGCGUGCCUAAUACAUGCAAGUCGAGCGAACGGACGAGAAGCUUGCUUCUCUGAUGUUAGCGGCGGACGGGUGAGUAACACGUGGAUAACCUACCUAUAAGACUGGGAUAACUUCGGGAAACCGUAGCUAAUACCGGAUAAUAUUUUGAACCGCAUGGUUCAAAAGUGAAAGACGGUCUUGCUGUCACUUAUAGAUGGAUCCGCGCUGCAUUAGCUAGUUGGUAAGGUAACGGCUUACCAAGGCAACGAUGCAUAGCCGACCUGAGAGGGUGAGCGGCCACAAUGGAACUGAGACAAGGUCCAGACUCCUACGGGAGGCAGCAGUAGGGAAUAUUCAGCAAUGGGAGAAAGCCUGACGGAGAAACGCCGAGUGAGUGAUGAAGAUCUUCGGAUCGUAAAACUCUGUUAUUAGGGAAGAACAUAUGUGUAAGUAACUGUGCAAAUCUUGACGGUACCUAAUCAGAAAGCCACGGCUAACUACGUG
This 497-nucleotide ribosomal RNA is filed under the name uncultured bacterium. Its description in RNAcentral is "partial 16S ribosomal RNA". It matches the Rfam family "Bacterial small subunit ribosomal RNA", at positions 28 to 507 of the family's 1533-position model. The record is from RNAcentral.